This 253-nucleotide ribosomal RNA is filed under the name uncultured bacterium. RNAcentral describes it as "partial 16S ribosomal RNA". It matches the Rfam family "Bacterial small subunit ribosomal RNA", at positions 524 to 776 of the family's 1533-position model. The record is from RNAcentral.
UACAGAGGUGGCGAGCGUUGUUCGGAUUUACUGGGCGUAAAGGGUGCGUAGGUGGUUCCUUAUGUCGAAUGUGAAAGCUCACUGCUCAACGGUGAAAUGGCAUUCGAAACUGAGGAACUAGAGUGCAGGAGAGGAGAGCGGAAUUCUUGGUGUAGCGGUGGAAUGCGUUGAUAUCAAGAAGAACACCGGUGGCGAAGGCGGCUCUCUGGAAUGCAACUGACACUGAGGCACGAAAGUUGGGGGAGCAAACAGG